This 60-nucleotide transfer RNA is filed under the name Podarcis lilfordi (Lilford's wall lizard). Its description in RNAcentral is "tRNA.Ile". The record is from RNAcentral. Lineage: Eukaryota; Metazoa; Chordata; Lepidosauria; Squamata; Lacertidae.
GCAGCUCAGUUGGUAGAGCAUGAGACUGAUAAUGUCAGGGUUCGAGCCCCACAUUGGACA